Molecule: ribosomal RNA, 468 nt
Filed under: uncultured bacterium
Lineage: Bacteria
Description: partial 16S ribosomal RNA
Rfam family: Bacterial small subunit ribosomal RNA
Source: RNAcentral
GACGAACGCUGGCGGCGUGCUUAACACAUGCAAGUCGAACGGAAAGGCCCUGCUUUUGUGGGGUGCUCGAGUGGCGAACGGGUGAGUAACACGUGAGUAACCUGCCCUUGACUUUGGGAUAACUUCAGGAAACUGGGGCUAAUACCGGAUAGGAGCUCCUGCUGCAUGGUGGGGGUUGGAAAGUGUCGGCGGUUGGGGAUGGACUCGCGGCUUAUCAGCUUGUUGGUGGGGUAGUGGCUUACCAAGGCUUUGACGGGUAGCCGGCCUGAGAGGGUGACCGGCCACAUUGGGACUGAGAUACGGCCCAGACUCCUACGGGAGGCAGCAGUGGGGAAUAUUGCACAAUGGGCUGAAGCCUGAUGCAGUAACGCCGCGUGCGGGAUGACGGCCUUCGGUUUGUAAACCGCUUUCGCCUGUGACGAAGCGUGAGUGACGGUAAUGGGUAAAGAAGCACCGGCUAACUACGUG